GAUGAACGCUAGCGAUAGGCUUAACACAUGCAAGUCGAGGGGCAGCACAAGGUAGCUUGCUAUCUGGGUGGCGACCGGCGCACGGGUGCGUAACGCGUAUGCAACUUGCCCUAUACAGGAGGAUAACCCGUCGAAAGACGGACUAAUACUGCGUAUGCUCACAACUUGGCAUCAAGUGGUGAGGAAAGAAAUUCGGUAUAGGAUAGGCAUGCGUCCCAUUAGCUUGUUGGUGAGGUAACGGCUCACCAAGGCAACGAUGGGUAGGGGAACUGAGAGGUUUAUCCCCCACACUGGUACUGAGACACGGACCAGACUCCUACGGGAGGCAGCAGUGAGGAAGAUUGGUCAAUGGGCGCGAGCCUGAACCAGCCAAGUCGCGUGAAGGAUGACUGUCUUAUGGAUUGUAAACUUCUUUUAGACGGGAAUAACAAGAGUCACGGGUGACUCCCUGCAUGUACCGUAUGAAUAAGCAUCGGCUAACUCCGUG
This 487-nucleotide ribosomal RNA is filed under the name uncultured bacterium. RNAcentral describes it as "partial 16S ribosomal RNA". It matches the Rfam family "Bacterial small subunit ribosomal RNA", at positions 28 to 507 of the family's 1533-position model. The record is from RNAcentral.